Long non-coding RNA from Rhea pennata, 206 nucleotides. RefSeq lists it as uncharacterized. The record is from RefSeq and is a predicted model, not a curated record. Lineage: Eukaryota; Metazoa; Chordata; Aves; Rheiformes; Rheidae. The transcript is spliced from 3 exons.
CGGCUGCAGCCCGGGCCUGUGCCAGCACAAAGCCCGGCUCGUGCCCUCAGGCUGCCAGCUGCUGCUGCUUCACUUGUCACCUCAUGGGAGCUGCGAAGGCAUGAGACCGCUAGCUGCAGCUGCUGAUCGAUAAAGUCUAUCUACUGCAAGACAAAGGCAACUAAAGGAAAAAUGUUUAUAAUUCUUUAUGCUUUCCACCUGGACGG